GAUGAACGCUGGCGGCGUGCCUAAUACAUGCCAGUCGAGCGAACAGACGAGGAGCUUGCUCCUCUGACGUUAGCGGCGGACGGGUGAGUAACACGUGGAUAACCUACCUAUAAGACUGGGAUAACUUCGGGAAACCGGAGCUAAUACCGGAUAGUAUAUUGAACCGCAUGGUUCAAUAGUGAAAGACGGUUUUGCUGUCACUUAUAGAUGGAUCCGCGCCGCAUUAGCUAGUUGGUAAGGUAACGGCUUACCAAGGCAACGAUGCGUAGCCGACCUGAGAGGGUGAUCGGCCACACUGGAACUGAGACACGGUCCAGACUCCUACGGGAGGCAGCAGUAGGGAAUCUUCCGCAAUGGGCGAAAGCUUGACGGAGCAACGCCGCGUGAGUGAUGAAGGUCUUCGGAUCGUAAAACUCUGUUAUUAGGGAAGAACAAAUGUGUAAGUAACUAUGCACGUCUUGACGGUACCUAAUCAGAAAGCCACGGCUAACUACGUG
This 497-nucleotide ribosomal RNA is filed under the name uncultured bacterium. RNAcentral describes it as "partial 16S ribosomal RNA". It matches the Rfam family "Bacterial small subunit ribosomal RNA", at positions 28 to 507 of the family's 1533-position model. The record is from RNAcentral.